CAGCAGCAGGCAGCUUCUCCCAGACUUUCAGAGUGGAAGGUCUGUUUCCUGAGCAGCGCAGCGCAGGCUAGGGGGAGCUACCCACCAGGCUGCAGGCCCUGAGGGAAGGGCCUAACUGGUGCAAAGGGGCUAAAGGGGAAGCAGCCCAGGAAGAGAGGGGCACAAGGGGAGAGAAGGAGGGUGGGGAGGCUGCAACUAAAGGGCCCUUGGGUUGGGACCGGAGUAGUGGGUGGGCCUGGGUCCCCCCCACCUUGUACUACACUUGGCCAUGCAGUAUAGCUGAAACAAUCUGCAACUGGCCCUUGAGACAAGGGGCUAGACUUUGGAGGUUGUGGUUGGCCACUGAGGCCAGUGCAAGGACUGUUGCUAACAUCCCCCCCUCAGAAGGGGGUGGGGAUGGACUAAGGGGCACUGCUGAAGGGCAGCAUCCUGAAGAGGACACUGCUGAGCGGGGAGCAGCGCAGGUCCAAACACCAGCAAGGAAGAGAUGAUGGAUGGGACACGACUGGCAGAGGGUUCUCCCCAUGAACUGAGCUAAUUCCCAGAGGUAACCAGCGGGAGGCAUUGCAGUGUAUGGUGUAUCCAUUGAAUUCACCCUAUCAGAGAGCUGAGAAGUGUAUAUGCAGUCCAUGAUCGAUGACUUCUUGGAUCUUCUUCUGAUGCAUGUUUUCGGUCUGUUUGGAGGAGAAUGGGCUAAAUCCAGGAUACUAUUUUCUUUUUGGGUGAUGGUGGUAGGAGAUAACAGUUUGGAAGAAGGCGUGCAGUAUGCAUUACUAUCUUUCACUGUGUCAGACAAAACUAACUAGUCUAAAAAACGGUCAUUACCUGUGAUGCCCUGCCUGAACCGUUCCAUAAAGCCAGUGUACCCUUCUCCUGCAAGAACCAUUUUUCAUUCACCUGACUUAAAGUAUGUUGCCUAGCACAUUGUGAAUGCUCUUGGCAAAGAAAUAAU
This is a long non-coding RNA of Mauremys reevesii (Reeves's turtle), 952 nucleotides long. RefSeq lists it as uncharacterized. Lineage: Eukaryota; Metazoa; Chordata; Testudines; Geoemydidae. The record is from RefSeq and is a predicted model, not a curated record. The transcript is spliced from 5 exons.